AGCAUGGUGGUGCAGUGGUUUGCACUGUUGCCCUAAAAAGGAAGGUUCCAGGUUUGAGUCCUGGCUGGUCAG
Gymnothorax javanicus (giant moray) is the source of this 72-nucleotide non-coding RNA. The record is from the annotation of a GenBank genome assembly. Lineage: Eukaryota; Metazoa; Chordata; Actinopteri; Anguilliformes; Muraenidae.